AUUGUGCUGUUGCGUUGUUGUGUGGUGUUGCGUUGUGGUGUUGCGUUGCGUGGUGUUGUUGUGUUGCGGUGUUGUGUUGCAUUGUUGUGUUGCGGUGUUGUGUUGUGUUGUGCUGUGUUGUGGUGUUGUGGUGUUGUGUUGCGUUGCAUUGUUGUGUUGUGUUGUUGCAUUGUGUUGUUGCGUUGUUGUGUUGUGUUGCGUUGUGGUGUUGCGUUGCGUGGUGGUGUUGUGUUGUGUUGUUGUGUUGUGUUGUGGUGUUGUGUUGCGUUGUUGUGUUGCGGUGGUGUGUUGCGGUGGUGUGGUAUUGUGUUGUGUGGUUGUGUUGUGGUGUUGUGUUUUGUUGUGCUGUGUUGUGGUGUUGUGGUGUUGCGUUCUGUGGUUGUGUUGCGUUGUGUUGUGUAGUUGUGUUGCGUUGUUGCGUUGUGCUGUUGCGUUGUGCUGUUGCAUUGCGUUGUGUUGUUGUGCUGUGUUGUGCUGUGUUGUGUUGUUGCAUUGUUGUGUUGCGUUAUGUUGCUGUGUUGCGUUGUGUUGCUGUGUUGUGUUGUUGUGGUGUUGUGUUGUGUUGCGUUGUGCUGUUGCAUUGCGUUGUGUUGUUGUGCGGUGUUGUGUUGUUGCAUUGCUGUGUUGUGUUGCGUUGUGGUGUUGUUGCGUUGCGUUGUGUUGUUGCGUUCUGUUGUUGCAUUGUUGUGUUGUUGUGUUGCGUUGUGCUGUGUUGUGUUGUUGUGUUGCGUUGUGGUGUUGCAUUGUAUUGUGCUGUUGUGCUGCGUUGUGUUGUUGCGUUGUGGUGUUGUGUUGUUGUGUUGCAUCGUUGUGUUGCGUUGUGGCAUUGUGGUGUGUCGUGCUGCGUUGUUGCACUGUGUCGUGCUGCGUUGUGUUGUUGUGUCGCGCUGUGUUGUUGCGUUGUUGCGUUGUUGCGUUGUUGCGUUGUUGCAUUGUUGCGUUGUUGCGUUGUCGCGUUGUCGCGUUGUCGCGUUGUCGCGUUGUCGCGUUGUCGCGUUGUCGCGUUGUCGCGUUGUUGUGUUGUCGCGUUGUCGCGUUGUCGCGUUGUUGCGUUGUUGUGUUGUCGCGUUGUUGCGUUGUUGUGUUGUCGCGUUGUUGCGUUGUUGUGUUGUCGCGUUGUUGCGUUGUUGUGUUGUCGCGUUGUUGCGUUGUUGCGUUGUUGCGUUGUAGCAUUGCGGGCCCAGAGGCAAAUGUGGGGCCAGGCACAGCACAGAUGUGGGGCUGAGCAGAGUGCAGAUAUGGGGCCAGGCAUAGCACAGAUGUGGGGCCGGGCACAGCACAAAUGUGGGGCCGAGCUGAAUGCAGACAUGGGGCUGGGCCCGACACAGACAUGAGGCCGAGCAGAGUGCAGAUGUGGGGCCAGGCACAGCACAGAUGUGGGGCCAAGCCCAGUGCAAAUGUGGGGCCGGGCCCAGUGGAAAUGUGGGGCUGGGCCCAGCGGAAAUGUGGGGCUGGGCCCAGCGCAGAUGUGGGGCCGAGCCCAGCACAGAUGUGGGGCUGAGCCCAGCACAGAUGUGGGGCCGAGCCCAGCACAAAUGUGGGGCUGAGCAGAAUGCAGAUGUGGGGCCGAGCCCGGCACAGAUGUGGGGCCAGGCACAGCACAAAUGUGGGGCCGAGCAAAAUGCAGAUGUGGGGCCGGGCCCGGCACAGAUGUGGGGCUGAGCUGAAUGCACAUGUGGGGCUGAGCCCAGCACAGAUGUGGGGCCGGGCCCGUCGCAGAUGUGGGGCUGAGCUGAAUGCAGAUGUGGGGCUGGGCCCGGCCCAAAUGUGGGGCCGGGCACAGCACAGAUGUGGGGCCAAGCCCAGCACAAAUGUGGGGCCGAGCAGAAUGCAGAUGUGGGGCCGGGCCUGGCACAGAUGUGGGGCUGGGCCCGUCGCAGAUGUGGGGCUGAGCUGAAUGCAGAUGUGAGGCCAAGCCCAGCACAAAUGUGGGGCCGGGCACAGCACAGAUGUGGGGCCGAGCAGAGAGCAGAUGUGGGGCCGAGCCCAGCACAGAUGUGGGGCUGAGCUGAAUGCAGAUGUGGGGCCGGGCCCAGCACAGAUGUGGGGCUGGGCCCGUCGCAGAUGUGGGGCCGAGCUGAAUGCAGAUGUGGGGCCGAGCCCAGCACAAAUGUGGGGCUGGGCCCAGUACAAAUGUGGGGCCGAGCAGAAUGCAGAUGUGGGGCCGAGUCCAGCACAAAUGUGGGGCCGAGCAGAAUGCAGAUGUGGGGCCAAGCCCAGCACAGAUGUGGGGCCGAGCAGAAUGCAGAUGUGGGGCUGAGCCCAGCACAGAUGUGGGGCUGAGCUGAAUGCAGAUGUGGGGCUGAGCCCAGCACAGAUGUGGGGCCGGGCCCG
Numida meleagris (helmeted guineafowl) is the source of this 2334-nucleotide long non-coding RNA. Lineage: Eukaryota; Metazoa; Chordata; Aves; Galliformes; Numididae. The record is from Ensembl.